CCAGCUCCAUCCCGCCGGGUGUGUUCUUGCCCGGUGUUCUCGCUCGAUGUCCCAGCAGACAGAGCCGUGGAGGGCACGAUAUAUGUGGUUGAAAGGCAUCAUAAUUCUGGAAGGGGCCUCAAGCUGAUACAACUGAAAGCUGCCACAGAAGAGUUUAUAUCCCUGCCUUCUCCUAAAAUAUGUUCAACAGGAGUUGAACCACUUCGGGCCUGUCAGAGUAUGAUCUUCACGCUAGCCAGAAAUCUGUGGACCAUAACAUGGGUGUCUUUACAAUCACAGCAACAAAAGAGCAGAGGUGUCACAAACAAAGGAAGGUCCAUGCAGUAGUCACUGAGUGUGUCAAGUUCCCUGAGUUGUGGAAGAAUGGGGCUGGAAGUCACCAGAAUGUUUGCGGAAAUGCUAUAAGCCCUGAGAAGUCGCAGAAGGAUGCUCUGGGUCUGUGGCAGUCUGGCUGAAGCUCAGAACAAAAUUCAAGGGAGUCCAGCAUUGCACACAGAGUUUCUUCUGCUGUAUUAAUUGAGAGAGAGAGAAGGCAGAGGACUUAAACUGUGUUACUCAAAGGUAAGUGUUUUGAUAGCCUGCUCAGUUCUCAGUACUUUGAGGAGUUCGAGAAAUCCCUUUAAACUGUGCACGUCCUAUUAUUUGUACAUUAGAAGUUGUUAAGGUGUCUUCACCUUCACUUGUGGAUUGUUUUCUGUCAUGCUUUAACUGGUACAUAGGCUACGCCUUUCUCCGUUUCACCCUGACAUCAUUCCCGGGCCUUUUUAUUUGUCAAAGGCUUGCAUUCCAAUUUGGGGACUGAUAAAGAUUGAGGACUUGGGGAUCCAAGAACCUUAAGUUCUUAUUGAGUGUUUGCUGCAAAAAUAAUGUUCUGACCAACUCAUUAACUAGCUAGAUGGACUUACUCUGCUUUGUAAUGUGUUUCAUACUUCCAUGCUCUAAACGAUGCUGUUGUCUGUCUUUGUCAAAUCAGUUGGAAAUUAAAUACAAAUUCCAUUUACAGGUCAUUAUUUUUUUGCAUUGCUGUUGUUUUGAUAGGAGCAUACGCGUGUAUGUUAAGC
RNAcentral lists this long non-coding RNA (1061 nucleotides) under Coturnix japonica (Japanese quail). RNAcentral's name for it is "lncRNA (ENSCJPG00005016567.1)". Lineage: Eukaryota; Metazoa; Chordata; Aves; Galliformes; Phasianidae. The record is from RNAcentral.